This 27-nucleotide non-coding RNA is filed under the name Rattus norvegicus (Norway rat). The record is from RNAcentral. Lineage: Eukaryota; Metazoa; Chordata; Mammalia; Rodentia; Muridae.
UGAGUGGCCCCUCGAGAGACAGAGAGC